CCUACGGGGGGCUGCAGUGGGGAAUAUUGCCCAAUGGGGGGAACCCUGAUGCAGCAACGCCGCGUGGGUGAAGAAGUAUCUCGGUAUGUAAAGCUCUAUCAUCAGGGAAGAAAAUGACGGUACCUAACUAAUAAGCACCGGCUAAAUACGUGCCAGCAGCCGCGGUAAUACGUAUGGUGCAAGCGUUAUCCGGAUUUACUGGGUGUAAAGGGAGCGCAGGCGGGGCGGCAAGUCAGAUGUGAAAGCCCGGGGCUCAACCCCGGGACUGCAUUUGAAACUGCCGGGCUAGAGUGUGGGAGAGGUAAGUGGAAUUCCUAGUGUAGGGGUGAAAUGCGUAGAGAUUAGGAGGAAUACUAGUGGCGAAGGCGGCUUGCUGGACGAUCACUGACGCUGAGGCUCGAAAGCGUGGGGAGCAAACAGGAUUAGAUACCCGUGUAGUC
This 440-nucleotide ribosomal RNA is filed under the name uncultured bacterium. RNAcentral's name for it is "partial 16S ribosomal RNA". It matches the Rfam family "Bacterial small subunit ribosomal RNA", at positions 338 to 795 of the family's 1533-position model. The record is from RNAcentral.